UAUCUUUGUAGCUUCAAUGAAUAGCUCAUUGAUGUACAUAAAAAUCAUUUAAAUAAUAUUGGAAUG
Non-coding RNA from Tenacibaculum dicentrarchi, 66 nucleotides. Lineage: Bacteria; Pseudomonadati; Bacteroidota; Flavobacteriia; Flavobacteriales; Flavobacteriaceae. The record is from Rfam.